UACGUAGGGUGCGAGCGUUAAUCGGAAUUACUGGGCGUAAAGCGUGCGCAGGCGGUUCGUUAAGUUCGUUGUGAAAGCCCCGGGCUCAACCUGGGAACUGCAAUGGAAACUGGCGGGCUUGAGUGUGGCAGAGGGGGGUGGAAUUCCGCGUGUAGCAGUGAAAUGCGUAGAGAUGCGGAGGAACACCGAUGGCGAAGGCAGCCCCCUGGGCCAACACUGACGCUCAUGCACGAAAGCGUGGGGAGCAAACAGG
Molecule: ribosomal RNA, 253 nt
Filed under: uncultured bacterium
Lineage: Bacteria
Description: partial 16S ribosomal RNA
Rfam family: Bacterial small subunit ribosomal RNA
Source: RNAcentral